RNAcentral lists this unclassified non-coding RNA (352 nucleotides) under soil metagenome. Its description in RNAcentral is "partial contains 5.8S ribosomal RNA, internal transcribed spacer 2, and large subunit ribosomal RNA". The stretch from base 1 to 120 matches the Rfam family "5.8S ribosomal RNA", at positions 35 to 154 of the family's 154-position model. The record is from RNAcentral.
GAUGAAGAACGUAGCGAAAUGCGAUAAGUAAUGUGAAUUGCAGAAUUCAGUGAAUCAUCGAAUCUUUGAACGCACAUUGCGCCCGCCAGUAUUCUGGCGGGCAUGCCUGUUCGAGCGUCAUUACAACCCUCAGGCCCCCGGGCCUGGCGUUGGGGAUCGGCGGAGCCCCCCGUGGGCACACGCCGUCCCCCAAAUGCAGUGGCGGUCCCGCCGCAGCUUCCAUCGCGUAGUAGCUAACACCUCGCGACUGGAGAGCGGCGCGGCCACGCCGUAAAACACCCAACUCUUCUGAAGUUGACCUCAAAUCAGGUAGGAAUACCCGCUGAACUUAAGCAUAUCAAUAAGCGGAGGA